This is a non-coding RNA of Fomitopsis betulina (razor strop fungus), 95 nucleotides long. Lineage: Eukaryota; Fungi; Basidiomycota; Agaricomycetes; Polyporales; Fomitopsidaceae. The record is from the annotation of a GenBank genome assembly.
GUUCCCGUCGAUUAGUGGUCAGAUCAUCACGUUGUGGCUUCGAGCACAGCUGGAUUUAAACCGUGGGGACGAGGGCUCGACUCCCUCCGGGAACA